UAUGCCUACGGGGCGCAGCAGUGGGGGAUAUUGCACAAUGGGGGGAACCCUGAUGCAGCGACGCCGCGUGGGUGAAGAAGCGCCUCGGCGCGUAAAGCCCUGUCAGCAGGGAAGAGAAUGACGGUACCUGAAGAAGAAGCCCCGGCUAACUACGUGCCAGCAGCCGCGGUAAUACGUAGGGGGCAAGCGUUAUCCGGAUUUACUGGGUGUAAAGGGUGCGUAGGCGGCUUGGCAAGUCAGUAGUGAAAUCCAUGGGCUUAACCCAUGAACUGCUAUUGAAACUGUCGCGCUUGAGUGAAGUAGAG
Molecule: ribosomal RNA, 305 nt
Filed under: uncultured bacterium
Lineage: Bacteria
Description: bacterial SSU rRNA
Rfam family: Bacterial small subunit ribosomal RNA
Source: RNAcentral